CUACGGGGGGCUGCAGUGGGGAAUAUUGGACAAUGGGGGAAACCCUGAUCCAGCAAUGCCGCGUGUGUGAAGAAGGCCUGCGGGUUGUAAAGCACUUUCGGUUGGGAGGACUGCUUCUAGCACUAAUAUUGUUGGAAGUUGACGUUACCUUCAGAAGAAGCACCGGCUAACUCCGUGCCAGGCAGCCGCGGUAAUACGGAGGUGCAAGCGUUAAUCGGAAUUACUGGGCGUAAAGCGCGCGUAGGCGGCUAGAUCAGUCGGGUGUGAAAGCCCCGGGCUUAACCUGGGAACUGCAUCCGAUACUGUCUAGCUUGAGUACAGGAGAGGAGAGUGGAAUUCCACAUGUAGCGGUGAAAUGCGUAGAUAUGUGGAGGAACACCAAUGGCGAAGGCAGCUCUCUGGCCUGAUACUGACGCUGAGGUGCGAAAGCGUAGGGAGCAAACAGGAUUAGAUACCCUGGUAGUC
Molecule: ribosomal RNA, 465 nt
Filed under: uncultured bacterium
Lineage: Bacteria
Description: partial 16S ribosomal RNA
Rfam family: Bacterial small subunit ribosomal RNA
Source: RNAcentral